AGAAUCAACGCUGGCGGCGUGCCUAACACAUGCAAGUCGCACGAGAAAGGGGAGCAAUCCCUGAGUAAAGUGGCGCACGGGUGAGUAACACGUGAAUCAUCUACCUCCGAGUGGGAAUAACCUAGAGAAAUCUGGGCUAAUACCGCAUAACACUUACGAGUUCAAAGCAGCAAUGCGCUUGGAGAGGAGUUCGCGGCCGAUUAGUUAGUUGGCGGGGUAAUGGCCCACCAAGACGAUGAUCGGUA
RNAcentral lists this ribosomal RNA (245 nucleotides) under uncultured bacterium. RNAcentral's name for it is "partial small subunit ribosomal RNA". It matches the Rfam family "Bacterial small subunit ribosomal RNA", at positions 26 to 285 of the family's 1533-position model. The record is from RNAcentral.